RNAcentral lists this ribosomal RNA (459 nucleotides) under uncultured bacterium. Its description in RNAcentral is "partial 16S ribosomal RNA". It matches the Rfam family "Bacterial small subunit ribosomal RNA", at positions 338 to 795 of the family's 1533-position model. The record is from RNAcentral.
CCUACGGGUGACAGCAGUGAGGAAUAUUGGUCAAUGGCCGGAAGGCUGAACCAGCCAAGCCGCGUGAAGGACGAAGGUGCCAAGCAUUGUAAACUUCUUUUGUCAAGGGACAAAAUCAGGCUCGAGAGCCUGACCGAGGGUACUUGAAGAAAAAGCAUCGGCUAACUCCGUGCCAGCAGCCGCGGUACUACGGAGGAUGCGAGCGUUAUCCGGAUUUAUGGGGUUUAAAGGGUGCGUAGGCGGGCUGUUAAGUCAGCGGUAAAAGCCCGGGGCUCAACCCCGGCGAGCCGUUGAAACUGGCUGUCUUGAGAUGUCGAGAGGUAUGCGGAAUGCGCAGUGUAGCGGUGAAAUGCUUAGAUAUUGCGCAGAACUCCGAUUGCGAAGGCAGCAUACCGGCGGCGAUCUGACGCUGAGGCACGAAAGCGUGGGUAUCGAACAGGAUUAGAUACCCCUGUAGUC